Lutra lutra (Eurasian river otter) is the source of this 403-nucleotide long non-coding RNA. RefSeq lists it as uncharacterized. The record is from RefSeq and is a predicted model, not a curated record. Lineage: Eukaryota; Metazoa; Chordata; Mammalia; Carnivora; Mustelidae. The transcript is spliced from 3 exons.
UUCCUUACUAGAUAAAAAAUAAAUAUACUGACGAUGGAUUACAGCAUGGACUGGAUUCUCUGAAGUUUCAACUGGUUUGAUGGUCUCUCCUUCACUUAGCUGCAAGCAUCAGAUGGCCAAGUAUCAGCCCAUACUUGACAAAGGAGAUGUGAAGCAGUAUGUUUCAACAUUGCUCCUUUACCAGAGCUACACCAAGACAGUUGUCACAGGUCAAUGGUAUUGUCUACAUCAACAUUUUUGGGCUGGAGUAAAUGCUAGUUCGCCUCGCAGGCGCUCAAGUGCCUCCAUCUCCUGUUCUUCGUCUUCCUCACUCAUUACUUCCUCGUCUUUUGGAAAUUCAUCUUCCAGGAUGUUCUCAAUAUCAUCUUCAUCUUCUUCAGGCUCUUCUUCACUGAAAUCUUCA